GGCUUCAUAGCUCAGUUGGUUAGAGCGUCGCACCGACAUCGCGAGGUCAGGGGUUCAAACCCCGUUGAAGUCU
Molecule: transfer RNA, 73 nt
Filed under: Acropora cervicornis
Lineage: Eukaryota; Metazoa; Cnidaria; Anthozoa; Scleractinia; Acroporidae
Description: tRNA-Val
Rfam family: tRNA
About the family: Transfer RNA (tRNA) molecules are approximately 80 nucleotides in length. Their secondary structure includes four short double-helical elements and three loops (D, anti-codon, and T loops).
Source: RNAcentral